UAAUGUAUGGGGAUCUGCCCGAUAGAGGGGAAUAACUACUGGAAACGGUGGCUAAUACCGCAUAAUGUCUACGGACCAAAGCAGGGGCUCUUCGGACCUUGCACUAUCGGAUGAACCCAUAUGGGAUUAGCUAGUAGGUGGGGUAAAGGCUCACCUAGGCGACGAUCUCUAGCUGGUCUGAGAGGAUGAUCAGCCACGCUGGGACUGAGACACGGCCCAG
Molecule: ribosomal RNA, 220 nt
Filed under: uncultured bacterium
Lineage: Bacteria
Description: partial 16S ribosomal RNA
Rfam family: Bacterial small subunit ribosomal RNA
Source: RNAcentral